GACGAACGCUGGCGGCGUGCUUAACACAUGCAAGUCGAACGGAAAGGCCCUGCUUUCGUGGGGUGCUCGAGUGGCGAACGGGUGAGUAACACGUGAGUAACCUGCCCUUGACUUUGGGAUAACUUCAGGAAACUGGGGCUAAUACCGGAUAGGAGCCCCUGCUGCAUGGUGGGGGUUGGAAAGUUUCGGCGGUUGGGGAUGGAUUCGCGGCUUAUCAGCUUGUUGGUGGGGUAGUGGCUUACCAAGGAUUUGACGGGUAGCCGGCCUGAGAGGGUGACCGGCCACAUUGGGACUGGGAUACGGCCCAGACUCCUACGGGGGGCAGCAGUGGGGAAUAUUGCACAAUGGGCGGAAGCCUGAUGCAGCAACGCCGCGUGCGGGAUGACGGCCUUCGGGUUGUAAACCGCUUUCGCCUGUGACGAAGCGUGAGUGACGGUAAUGGGUAAAGAAGCACCGGCUAACUACGU
Molecule: ribosomal RNA, 467 nt
Filed under: uncultured bacterium
Lineage: Bacteria
Description: partial 16S ribosomal RNA
Rfam family: Bacterial small subunit ribosomal RNA
Source: RNAcentral